GUAUUUUUGAAAGCAUGUUUUCUUUAAACAGCUUUUGUCUCUCAUUUUGUUUUCCUCUUUUUCUAAAAAUACAAUUCCCAUUUUUCUCAUCCCUCAUUUACAACAUCUGAGUCACCAUCUUUGCACUCAUUCAUAACACAGCAUGACCAAGAGCUGCCAGCAGGAAACACGGAUUAAGGGCUUGGCUUUUCUCAACUUGGUUAACAGCAGCUGAACACCCUGACUGUUGCCGGCAACUAUGAAACGUGCAGUGGAUCCACAACUUCCCCAAGGUCCAAGGUUGAUUACAGAGAGACAUCUCAGCGGCACAACCAACCUGCACUUGCAGUUCCACAGUGGUGUCUAUUUUCUGGCUUUGCAUGAUAACUCAGUUCCAAAGAGCAGAUGGUAAUAGUUAGCUGCCUUCUGCACCUGCAUGGAUGAGAGCAGAUCUGAAGAAACUCUUCUAUUCCAAACUUCUCAUCUCAGCCUUCUGAGAGUUAUUUAGGAUCACAAGAAAAUUCAAGACUCCUGCAGGUCAACUUGUCCAACUUCCUCCUCAGGUACCAUUGGCUGUGAAGAGUCAGACCAGGACACUCAGACCUUCAUCAGGUAUUUCAGCAACUUAAUUCAGAACCUG
Long non-coding RNA from Gallus gallus (chicken), 619 nucleotides. The record is from Ensembl. NCBI's taxonomy places the organism in Eukaryota, Metazoa, Chordata, Aves, Galliformes, Phasianidae.